GACAACAUCGCAAGCACAACGUGUCAUCAAAGACAAAGAACAGUCAGUUUAUAAAUGGCUUUCCCAUGAUCUUCAAGCCAGAUGAAAAAGAAAUAGCUGUUAAGGAUAACUACUACCUGGUAACUGCUAUAAGUUCGCAUGAAUUUACCUGGCUGUUGAAAUUCGUCGAUACGUUAUUCAGUCAUGGUGGUGAACUUGAAUUGAUAGUAUGGAGCUUAGAUAUUCGCGAUUGCGAGUUUAAUUACGUGAAAAAUCUAAAUACUCCAUUUCGAAUACAUUUACACCGUUUUCCAUAUCAUUUUCACCCACUGCAUUUACGAUACUACCAUUUAAAUGCAAUAAAACCAAUCGUUUUGGAAUCUGCCUCUCUUACGUAUGGUGAAAUUAUUUGGAUAGAACCUUCUGUCAAAUUACCUUUACAACUGGAUAAUAUUAUUGAAAUCCUCAGCGACAAAAGUUUUAUUGCAGCGAGUAGUUCCAAUCCAUCGGAUGCAGGACAUUGUCAGACCUAUGCCAUCGGCGUGAAUUACAUUCGGUUUAAAACCCUGAUUGAAGCAUGGGCACAAUGCGCGAGAAAACGUUCCUGCAUCGCAGCAGCAUUGAACCGUACAGAUCAUCACUCUGUGGUUGAUAUGUUCUUUGAGAAACGCAGAAAAGACAUGAGACUUCCUUGUACCGUAUUUAAUACUAAAGCAGUAGAAAUUAAAACUGAUGGAGUUCUAAAACAAUGGGAAAGCAACAAAGAAGACCGCUGCAAACAACACAAAGUUUGAGUUUUAACAGGAAGUCAUAGAACGCACGGAUGCUUAACUCCACAACUGGCUCGUCUUCGCCAGAAUAAACGGAAGUAUACCGAUCACCAUGGUUAUGUUUAUAUUGAAGAGGCGUUCGGGUUUCAUCGAAAUGCUCCCUGUCACAGAGUCUGGGAUAAAGUUCAUGCAAUUCUCAAACACUUGGCUGAAUGUAGGUUGCUGUUUUGGGUCGAUACGGACGCAAUUUUCUUGGAUAUGGACAGAACAUUAGAAUCUUUCUUUGAUGCUUAUCUGGGAAAAGAAUUUUUAGUAAGUUGGCCACGCACGGAUCGGAUGUUAAAUGCAGGUGUAUUGCUUAUGCGUAAUACGCCUACCAUGCACGAGUUUUUUCAAAAUAUAACAAAUGGAAAAACUUGGAAAAAUGACUGGUGUUCUCAUAGUAAGUUCGAGCAAGCCGCUAUCAGAGAUCAAUUGGAUAGUGGAAGUAUGGAUGGGAGAUUUGCAGUGGAACGCAGUAAUAUGUUACAAACGCUUUGCAGUUUUCGCAAUAAAGAAUGUGCUGUGACUAAGAAGGACUUUAUUGCCCAUUUUGCACCCCCAGACUGUCCGAAGUUACAUGACCUUGUUAAAACGUUCUUGGACGAUAACCAAAGUUUGAUAUGAUAAUGAUUUUCUCAUGAUAAGAACAUUUAAAGUAGCACAUUGAAUUGAGAUUUUGAGAUUUAUUAUUUUUUUGAAAACCGAGACUACCUAUUAGACUAUAAUCAAUCAACGACUUUGUCAUUAAAAGUGAAAGUAUACUCAAAGAAAAUAAAUUAGUAUACAACUGAUAAUUACGGCCCUGUUACCAUAUAUGCCUGUUACACGAUGCAUCUUGUUUGAUAUCAGAUGCCUCACAACGAUUGUACCAACUAUAAUGUAUUACAAUACUGAGCUAUCUAUAUAGUCGAGAGUGAAAUUGGAGUAUAUGUUACAAUUAAAUAUA
Molecule: unclassified non-coding RNA, 1737 nt
Filed under: Dendronephthya gigantea
Lineage: Eukaryota; Metazoa; Cnidaria; Anthozoa; Malacalcyonacea; Nephtheidae
Description: uncharacterized LOC114526820, transcript variant X3
Source: RNAcentral